GAUGAACGCUGGCGGCGUGCCUAAUACAUGCAAGUCGAGCGAACAGACGAGGAGCUUGCUCCUCUGACGUUAGCGGCGGACGGGUGAGUAACACGUGGAUAACCUACCUAUAAGACUGGGAUAACUUCGGGAAACCGGAGCUAAUACCGGAUAAUAUAUUGAACCGCAUGGUUCAAUAGUGAAAGACGGUUUUGCUGUCACUUAUAGAUGGAUCCGCGCCGCAUUAGCUAGUUGGUAGGGUAACGGCUUACCAAGGCGACGAUGCGUAGCCGACCUGAGAGGGUGAUCGGCCACACUGGAACUGAGACGCGGUCCAGACUCCUACGGGAGGCAGCAGUAGGGAAUCUUCCGCAAUGGGCGAAAGCCUGACGGAGCAACGCCGCGUGAGUGAUGAAGGUCUUCGGAUCGUAAAACUCUGUUAUUAGGGAAGAACAAAUGUGUAAGUAACUAUGCACGUCUUGACGGUACCUAAUCAGAAAGCCACGGCUAACUACGUG
Molecule: ribosomal RNA, 497 nt
Filed under: uncultured bacterium
Lineage: Bacteria
Description: partial 16S ribosomal RNA
Rfam family: Bacterial small subunit ribosomal RNA
Source: RNAcentral